This 478-nucleotide ribosomal RNA is filed under the name uncultured bacterium. Its description in RNAcentral is "partial 16S ribosomal RNA". It matches the Rfam family "Bacterial small subunit ribosomal RNA", at positions 28 to 523 of the family's 1533-position model. The record is from RNAcentral.
GACGAACGCUGGCGGCAUGCCUAACACAUGCAAGUCGAGCGAGUAGAUCCCUUCGGGGUGAAGCUAGCGGCGGACGGGUGAGUAACACGUGGGCAACCUGCCUCAUAGAGGGGAAUAGCCUUCCGAAAGGAAGAUUAAUACCGCAUAAGAUUGUAGUACCGCAUGGUAUAGCAAUUAAAGGAGCAAUCCGCUAUGAGAUGGGCCCGCGGCGCAUUAGCUAGUUGGUGAGGUAACGGCCCACCAAGGCGACAAUGCGUAGCCGACCUGAGAGGGUGAUCGGCCACAGUGGGACUGAUACACAGCCCAGACUCCUACGGGAGGCAGCAGUGGGGAAUAUUGCACAAUGGGGGAAACCCUGAUGCAGCAAUGCCGCGUGAGUGAUGACGGCCUUCGGGUUGUAAAGCUCUGUCUUCGGGGACGAUAAUGACGGUACCCGAGGAGGAAGCCACGGCUAACUACGUGCCAGCCGCCGCCGUAA